GCAGAGUAGCCGAAGCGCGUAAAGUGUUGCGAAACGGGACGUUGUUCGCAAACGAAAGGGAAUUUAGCCCCUGCGGUGCUGUUCGGCGCGUCCGU
RNAcentral lists this non-coding RNA (95 nucleotides) under human gut metagenome. RNAcentral describes it as "THF riboswitch". It matches the Rfam family "THF (Tetrahydrofolate) riboswitch aptamer". Rfam says of the family: THF riboswitch presents a pseudoknot that joins P1-P2 and the loop of P3 and two THF binding. The record is from RNAcentral. RNAcentral also lists the same sequence under 1 other name.